RNAcentral lists this transfer RNA (77 nucleotides) under Halolamina sp. RNAcentral describes it as "tRNA-Ile". It matches the Rfam family "tRNA". Rfam says of the family: Transfer RNA (tRNA) molecules are approximately 80 nucleotides in length. Their secondary structure includes four short double-helical elements and three loops (D, anti-codon, and T loops). RNAcentral also lists the same sequence under 1 other name. The record is from RNAcentral. Lineage: Archaea; Methanobacteriati; Methanobacteriota; Halobacteria; Halobacteriales; Haloferacaceae.
GGGCCCUUAGCUUAGUCUGGUCUCAGAGCACCCGGCUCAUAACCGGGCGAUCGGUGGUUCAAAUCCGCCAGGGCCCA